GGGCUGAGUAGGGGGACAGGGGCUGAGAAAGGGGACAGGGGCUGAGGGGGACAGGGCUGAGGAAGAGGGGCAGGAGCUUAGGAAAGGGACAGGGGCUGAGUAGGGGGACAGGGGCUGAGUAAGGGACAGGGGCUGAGGAGGGGGACGGGGGCUGAGUAAGGGGACAGGGGCUGAGGGGGACAGGGCUGAGGAAGAGGGGCAGGAGCUUAGGAAAGGGACAGGGGCUGAGGAAAGGGACAGGGACUGAGGAAAGGGACAAGGGCUAAGGGGGACAGUGGCUGAGUGAGGGGACAAGGACUAAGGAAAGGGACGGGCUGAAGAAGGGGACAGGGGCUGAGGGGGACAGGGGACUGAGGAAGGGGACAGUGGCUGAGGAAAGGGACAGGGCUGAGGAAGAGGGACAGGGGCUUAGGAGUGGGGGUGGGG
Non-coding RNA from Pelobates cultripes (western spadefoot toad), 426 nucleotides. Lineage: Eukaryota; Metazoa; Chordata; Amphibia; Anura; Pelobatidae. The record is from the annotation of a GenBank genome assembly.